Molecule: ribosomal RNA, 483 nt
Filed under: uncultured bacterium
Lineage: Bacteria
Description: bacterial SSU rRNA
Rfam family: Archaeal small subunit ribosomal RNA
Source: RNAcentral
GUGCCAGCAGCCGCGGUAAUACUAGCGGUCCAAGUCGCAACCACAUUUAUUGGGUCUAAAACAUCCGUAGCUUGCUUGAUAAGUUUCUUGUGAAAUUCUAUGUCUCAAACAUAGAGCGUGCAAGAAAUACUAUCUAGCUAGAGAUCGGGAGACGUAAGGAGUACGUUUAAAGUAGUAGUAAAAUGCUUUAAUCUUAAGCGGACUAACAAUAGCGAAGGCACCUUACGAGAACGGUUCUGACAGUCAGGGAUGAAGGCUAGGGGCGCAAAACGGAUUAGAUACCCGUGUAGUCCUAGCAGUAAACACUGUACACUAAACAUUGGGACCUCUUCGAGAGGUUUCAGUGCUGCAGGGAAGCCGAAGAGUGUACUACCUGGGAAGUAUAGCCGCAAAGGCCGAAACUCAAAAGUAAGUAGUACGGACGUCGUAGGAACGUACGUCCGAACCGGAACGGACCAACCAACGGGGAAGGGGUAAGGUAGG